Molecule: long non-coding RNA, 751 nt
Filed under: Cricetulus griseus (Chinese hamster)
Lineage: Eukaryota; Metazoa; Chordata; Mammalia; Rodentia; Cricetidae
Description: lncRNA (ENSCGRG00015037058.1)
Source: RNAcentral
CUCGCAAAGAAAAAUGCACUAACCCAGCAGAUCUGCUCUGGGUUUGCAUGUGAGCAAGGACCAGGCUAAUCACCGGGAUGCAGUUUGAUGCUGGCGACGGCGGCUACUGUGACCCCAACACCCCGAGCUCACGGAUUGGGCACCGGUGCACUGGCAGCUGCCGGAUGAUGACUCUGGCUGGUUUUAUGUCAACUUGACACAAGCUGGAGAAGACAUCAGAGAGGAGGGAACCUCAGGCUGCCUUGGUCAUGACGUCUCUUCACAGCAAUAGGGCAGUGAUGAAGAAGCCAAACAUACAGACCUGGUUGUAUGCUGGGAAUGGAGCCAGGCAGAUGAAUGCUGGAUAGAGCUCCACCUGCCUCUGCCUUCCAAGUGCUGGGAUUAAAGACACAUACCACUUCGCAGCAUCCUCCUUGUUCUUGACGCAGAAUCAGCGUUAUGGCUCAAUGAGUCGGAUGUAUGAUCUUCAAGGUUUUCCACACAGUUCCCUGUUGGACUGGCCAGCGCCUAGCUGAAGACACUCUGGCUGCUUUUACUCCACACAAAACUUCCUUUCGAACCUUGGAAUUGCUAAAGAAGAAACAAGGAUGUCCUAUUGCAAGAAAUAUUAAAUAUGAGUCUUUUUUUUCUUUUAGAUUUCUUUGAUGAGAAUUAGAAACAAGAGAGUUUUACAUGACAAUCCCAGUUCCAUUCUCUCUCUCCUCCUCCCGUACCCCGCCACCCACUAAAUCUUACCAAUCAAAUAUCCUUU